RNAcentral lists this ribosomal RNA (301 nucleotides) under uncultured bacterium. Its description in RNAcentral is "partial 16S ribosomal RNA". It matches the Rfam family "Bacterial small subunit ribosomal RNA", at positions 509 to 807 of the family's 1533-position model. The record is from RNAcentral.
CAGCAGCCGCGGUAACACGGAGGGUGCAAGCGUUAAUCGGAAUUACUGGGCGUAAAGCGCACGCAGGCGGUCUGUCAAGUCAGAUGUGAAAUCCCCGGGCUUAACCUGGGAACUGCAUUUGAAACUGGCAGGCUAGAGUCUUGUAGAGGGGGGUAGAAUUCCAGGUGUAGCGGUGAAAUGCGUAGAGAUCUGGAGGAAUACCGGUGGCGAAGGCGGCCCCCUGGACAAAGACUGACGCUCAGGUGCGAAAGCGUGGGGAGCAAACAGGAUUAGAUACCCCGGUAGUCCCUGUCUCUUAUAC